CUGGGAGGAACCAGCAGGCUCUGCACUUGACACAACUGUGUGCAAUUGCUGGGGCUGUUUACUUCCCUCUGGGGGCAGGAGCAGUCCUUGGGUUGGAGAAUUGAGUGUUGGAGAGCAACAGAGCUCGGUUUGCAGCUCCUUUAAUUGAUGUGAGAACAGCUGGAGCCGUCCUGCACUGCAUGGCAUGCAGCCCUGAGGACCCUUAUGCUUGGCUGCUGCAGCUUGCCUAUCUCCCUGGGUUUGGAGCACCCAAGCGAGUCAGAUUUGAUCUGGGAGGAACAGCAGCACCCUGGGCCAGGUGGGAAGUUCUCAAUACUUGCCUGAAGAGACUGCAGCAGGGAAAAAGGCUGAAACACCAAUUUGGAAGAGGAUUUCUUCCAAGGAUUUACUCCUGGAGCCCUCUCCCAUAGGCUCUGUGUGUGGUGUGGGGCUGGCAGUGGGGCAGCAGGGAGGCAGAGGGCCCUGAGCCCAGCCCAGCCAUGGGGCACUCAUUGGAGCUCUGUGAGGUGCUGCUAACGAGGCAGUGCCACUUAGCAGGCCCUGGGAGGGAGCUCAGCAAUGUGCCUGGGCCACUUCUUCUUGAGCCACGGCCGCCUCUCGCAUGAAGAGAGAUCUCAGGAGUGGGAAUUAAUUUCAAAAGGCACUUUUUUUUUCCCCUUAUCUUUUGCUCAUUAAGUUGUUCAGGAAAAAUUAACUAAUGAGAUUAUUUGCCAGAAAAAUUGUCCAGCUGGUGCUCCUGAGCGCUGGUUUGUGCUGUGGAGGGUGCCAUGUUGUUAACAGCUCAGAGAUGGCGUUGAGCACUGCCUGUUUCCCAGCUGCAUGCAGGGCUCUUGCUGAGCUUCUCCUGAGAGCUUCUCUUAUUUUUUUCCCCCUUUUUUUUUUUUUAAAUCUGCAUGUGGAUCUCAUGCCUCCUUCCUGAUAGCAGUCACGUGGAUGCUGCCUGCAUCUGAGCUGAGCAUAUGGCUCAGCAUUCCAGGCACAGUGGCUGAGCCCUCCUGUAGGGAAGGUAACAUCUGCCAGCUCCCGCAGCCUGUAAUCAAACCUACAGAGGCAGAACUGCCAAAGUCGUGUCAAAGUGGCAAAUUUACAUCCUGGGGCAAGAGGCUUCACUUCUGGCAGGCUGUUGGCUUGAUUCGGGUCUUAAUUAUUGUCAUAGUUGUAACUUUGAUGUUAGGAAGGAAAACAGAGCCUGCUGAUGGGAACUUGGUGCUCCAAGCGCUGCCCUGGAGUCCCACCAGGUUUACCUUCACCUGGGAAGGCUCAAAGUCUCUCCUGUUUCCAUUGGGAUCCCAAAGGCAUCUACAGGUAUCCCUGGGGAUUCGUGGAGUAAAGUGAAAGCUUCCAACUCCUAUAGGAAGGGCUAUGAAGCUGCACAGGUGGCUGCUUCUCAUCCUGGAUUCCUGCCUGGUGCACAGGCAGAAGUUCCAGAUCUUGCUGCAGGUGCUCCAGUGCAUCUUCAACCCUAUUUUGUGAUGGGAUGGAAAUGGAGGCUGACAGAACUCAGCAAAUCUGAACCAAAAAUGCCCUUAUUUGGGGAGGUAUUAAUAGAAGAGCUCUACAAAGAUGGGAGUAUUAUUAGAAGGUCCUAAUAUAGCUUAAUCUUAGCAUGCUGCAUCUAAUUUUGGAGCGGGGCUACUUUAGAAAGAAAGAGAGAGAAUUAUAAAACAGCAGUGAUGAUAGGAGGCUUAGAGAUUGUUGUGGAUGAGGAAAGGUCAGAAUAAUUUUCUGGCUUGUUGAUGGAGUGGUGGCACGUGAUGUGCACCUGAAAACCCUGUGGAGUUUCCUUUCUCCGAGGAUUUUGGAAGAGUGGAGCAGCUGCAGAGGUCUGGAUAGGCUGGGUGUCAGCACUCUGAGUUAUGGCAGUUGCAGCCACCAGGCAAAACCCAGAGUUCUACUGACAAAGAUUGGAGGUAACUCUGUGUUCAGCAGUCAGAAAGCAAGGGAAGGGCUGGAGUCAUUAAACACCACUUACAUCCCAGCUGUCAGGAAACAAAUUGGAUUUUUCAAGAGAAAACAUGGGAAUAAUGUUGAUUUUUCUUUAUGAAAACUCCAUUGAAAGCUUUUUCCACUGCAGUUCUUCCUGGAUCUUCAUUUUAACCAAAAUGCCUUGCAAGAAAUUAGCUUAAAUUAUUAUCCUUCUGAUACAAGAGGAAAUACUCAGAAUUGUCAAAUGAGGGACUGCACAUCAAAGGUAGAACAGAUAAAUACAUUUCACUCGUGUCGUUUUUUAUGGCAUCUACCUUAAGCUAUUAAAAGUUUUACUGCAGUAGUUACAUGUACACUGAUUUGCAUUUUAGACUGCAU
Molecule: long non-coding RNA, 2304 nt
Organism: Tympanuchus pallidicinctus (lesser prairie-chicken)
Lineage: Eukaryota; Metazoa; Chordata; Aves; Galliformes; Phasianidae
Exons: 3
Source: RefSeq, a predicted model, not a curated record